GAUGAACGCUGGCGGCGUGCCUAAUACAUGCAAGUCGAGCGAACAGAUGAGGAGCUUGCCCCUCUGACGUUAGCGGCGGACGGGUGAGUAACACGUGGAUAACCUACCUAUAAGACUGGGAUAACUACGGGAAACCGGAGCUAAUACCGGAUAAUAUAUUGAACCGCAUGGUUCAAUAGUGAAAGACGGUUUUGCUGUCACUUAUAGAUGGAUCCGCGCCGCAUUAGCUAGUUGGUAAGGUAACGGCUUACCAAGGCAACGAUGCGUAGCCGACCUGAGAGGGUGAUCGGCCACACUGGAACUGAGACACGGUCCAGACUCCUACGGGAGGCAGCAGUAGGGAAUCUUCCGCAAUGGGCGAAAGCCUAACGGAGCAACGCCGCGUGAGUGAUGAAGGUCUUCGGAUCGUAAAACUCUGUUAUUAGGGAAGAACAAAUGUGUAAGUAACUAUGCACGUCUUGACGGUACCUAAUCAGAAAGCCACGGCUAACUACGUG
Molecule: ribosomal RNA, 497 nt
Filed under: uncultured bacterium
Lineage: Bacteria
Description: partial 16S ribosomal RNA
Rfam family: Bacterial small subunit ribosomal RNA
Source: RNAcentral